CCUACGGGUGGCAGCAGUAGGGAAUAUUGCGCAAUGGGGGAAACCCUGAAGCAGCAACGCCGCGUGGAGGAUGAAGGUUUUCGGAUUGUAAACUCCUUUUGUUAGAGAAGAUAAUGACGGUAACUAACGAAGAAGCACCUGCUAACUCCGUGCCAGCAGCCGCGGGAAUACGGAGGGUGCGAGCGUUACUCGGAAUCACUGGGCGUAAAGAGCGCGUAGGUGGGUUAGCAAGUCAGAUGUGAAAGCCUAGGGCUUAACCAUAGAACUGCAUUUGAAACUGUUAUUCUAGAGGAUGAGAGAGGUAGGUAGAAUUCUUGGUGUAGGGGUGAAAUCCGUAGAGUUCAAGAGGAAUACUGAUUGCGAAGGCGACAAGCUAGAACAUAACUGACGCUGAGGCGCGAAAGCGUGGGGAGCAAACAGGAUUAGAUACCCUUGUAGUC
RNAcentral lists this ribosomal RNA (440 nucleotides) under uncultured bacterium. RNAcentral describes it as "partial 16S ribosomal RNA". It matches the Rfam family "Bacterial small subunit ribosomal RNA", at positions 338 to 795 of the family's 1533-position model. The record is from RNAcentral.